GACGAACGCUGGCGGCGUGCCUAAUACAUGCAAGUAGAACGCUGGAGGAGGAGCUUGCUUCUCUGGAUGAGUUGCGAACGGGUGAGUAACGCGUAGGUAACCUGCCUGGUAGCGGGGGAUAACUAUUGGAAACGAUAGCUAAUACCGCAUAAGAGUAGAUGUUGCAUGACAUUUGCUUAAAAGGUGCAAUUGCAUCACUACCAGAUGGACCUGCGUUGUAUUAGCUAGUUGGUGGGGUAACGGCUCACCAAGGCGACGAUACAUAGCCGACCUGAGAGGGUGAUCGGCCACACUGGGACUGAGACACGGCCCAGACUCCUACGGGAGGCAGCAGUAGGGAAUCUUCGGCAAUGGACGGAAGUCUGACCGAGCAACGCCGCGUGAGUGAAGAAGGUUUUCGGAUCGUAAAGCUCUGUUGUAAGAGAAGAACGAGUGUGAGAGUGGAAAGUUCACACUGUGACGGUAUCUUACCAGAAAGAGACGGCUAACUACGUG
Molecule: ribosomal RNA, 495 nt
Filed under: uncultured bacterium
Lineage: Bacteria
Description: partial 16S ribosomal RNA
Rfam family: Bacterial small subunit ribosomal RNA
Source: RNAcentral